Molecule: transfer RNA, 75 nt
Filed under: Limosilactobacillus reuteri
Lineage: Bacteria; Bacillati; Bacillota; Bacilli; Lactobacillales; Lactobacillaceae
Also listed under: 1 other name
Description: tRNA-Ala
Rfam family: tRNA
About the family: Transfer RNA (tRNA) molecules are approximately 80 nucleotides in length. Their secondary structure includes four short double-helical elements and three loops (D, anti-codon, and T loops). Further hydrogen bonds mediate the characteristic L-shaped molecular structure. tRNAs have two regions of fundamental functional importance: the anti-codon, which is responsible for specific mRNA codon recognition, and the 3' end, to which the tRNAs corresponding amino acid is attached (by aminoacyl-tRNA synthetases). tRNAs cope with the degeneracy of the genetic code in two manners: having more than one tRNA (with a specific anti-codon) for a particular amino acid; and 'wobble' base-pairing, i.e. permitting non-standard base-pairing at the 3rd anti-codon position.
Source: RNAcentral
UGGGGAAUUAGCUCAGCUGGGAGAGCACCUGCUUUGCAAGCAGGAGGUCAUCGGUUCGAUUCCGUUAUUCUCCAU